UCCCAUUCCGGCUGUUCAUUCCCAUUCCGGGUGUUCAUUCCGGGUGUUCAUUCCGGGUGUUCAUUCCCAUUCCGGGUGUUCGUUCCCAUUCCGGGUGUUCAUUCCCAUUCCUGGUGUUCAUUCCCAUUCCGGCUGUUCAUUCCGGGUGUUCAUUCCGGGUGUUCAUUCCCAUUCCGGGUGUUCAUUCCGGGUGUUCAUUCCCAUUCCGGCUGUUCAUUCCCGGUGUUCCUUCCCAUUCCCAUUGUUUAUUCCGGGUGUUCAUUCCGGCUGUUCAUUCCCAUUCCGGGUGUUCAUUCCCAUUCCGGGUGUUCAUUCCCAUUCCGGGUGUUCAUUCCCAUUCCGGGUGUUCGUUCCCAUUCCCGGUGUUCUUUCCCAUUCCGGGUGUUCAUUCCCAUUCCCGGUGUUCAUUCCGGGUGUUCAUUCCCAUUCUGGGUGUUCAUUCCCAUUCCGGGUGUUCAUUCCGGGUGUUCAUUCCCAUUCCGGGUGUUCAUUCCCAUUCCGGGUGUUCAUUCCGGGUGUUUAUUCCGGGUGUUCAUUCCCAUUCCCAGUGUUUAUUCCCAUUCCGGGUGUUCAUUCCGGGUGUUCAUUCCCAUUCCGGGUGUUCAUUCCGGGUGUUCAUUCCGGGUGUUCAUUCCCAUUCCGGCUGUUCAUUCCGGGUGUUCAUUCCGGGUGUUUAUUUUCCGGCAGCUGAUCCAGUUCCUGAUCUCCCUGGUUCAAUCCAAUCGCAUC
This 729-nucleotide long non-coding RNA is filed under the name Parus major (Great Tit). RNAcentral's name for it is "lncRNA (ENSPMJG00000002508.1)". Lineage: Eukaryota; Metazoa; Chordata; Aves; Passeriformes; Paridae. The record is from RNAcentral.